CCCUUAGAUGUCCGGGGCUGCACGCGCGCUACACUGAAGGAAUCAGCGUGCUAAAACCAUUGUCGAAAGGCAUUGGUAAACCCAUUAAAAUCCUACGUGUUUGGGAUCGGGAAUUGCAAUUAUUUCCCUUGAACGAGGAAUUCCCAGUAAGUGUGGGUCAUAAGCUCGCGUUGAUUACGUCCCUGCCCUUUGUACACACCGCCCGUCGCUGCCCGGGACUGAGCCGUUUCGAGAAAAGCGGGGACUGCUGCUGUCGGGGCUUUCGGGCCUUGGCUUCGGUGGAAACCGCUUUAAUCGCAGUGGCUUGAACCGGGCAAAAGUCGUAACA
This 328-nucleotide ribosomal RNA is filed under the name uncultured eukaryote. RNAcentral's name for it is "partial 18S ribosomal RNA". It matches the Rfam family "Eukaryotic small subunit ribosomal RNA", at positions 1470 to 1796 of the family's 1831-position model. The record is from RNAcentral.